This 459-nucleotide ribosomal RNA is filed under the name uncultured bacterium. Its description in RNAcentral is "partial 16S ribosomal RNA". It matches the Rfam family "Bacterial small subunit ribosomal RNA", at positions 338 to 795 of the family's 1533-position model. The record is from RNAcentral.
CCUACGGGUGGCAGCAGUGAGGAAUAUUGGUCAAUGGGCGGGAGCCUGAACCAGCCAAGCCGCGUGAGGGAAGAAGGUACAGCGUAUCGUAAACCUCUUUUGUCAGGGAACAAAGGCGGGGACUAGUCCCCGGAUGAGGGUACCUGAAGAAAAAGCAUCGGCUAACUCCGUGCCAGCAGCCGCGGUAAUACGGAGGAUGCGAGCGUUAUCCGGAUUUAUUGGGUUUAAAGGGUGCGUAGGCGGAAUGCCAAGUCAGCGGUAAAAUCGCGGGGCUCAACCUCGCUCCGCCGUUGAAACUGGCGUUCUUGAGUGGGCGAGAAGUAUGCGGAAUGCGUGGUGUAGCGGUGAAAUGCAUAGAUAUCACGCAGAACUCCGAUUGCGAAGGCAGCAUACCGGCGCCCAACUGACGCUGAAGCACGAAAGCGUGGGUAUCGAACAGGAUUAGAUACCCGAGUAGUC